UAUUAAAAUUUUAUCUAUUUGUAUGAUUAAAAACCGAUGUGGCUGACGAAAUAACUAGACAAUUACACGUGAUGUGUCACAUAUACCUCAUGUUAAUGUACAAGAUUGGUUUUAAAUAGUAUAAAUGAACAAAACUUUUAAUG
Molecule: microRNA precursor, 143 nt
Filed under: Gossypium hirsutum (cotton)
Lineage: Eukaryota; Viridiplantae; Streptophyta; Magnoliopsida; Malvales; Malvaceae
Description: MIR7502 microRNA precursor family
Rfam family: MIR7502 microRNA precursor family
Source: Rfam by way of RNAcentral